RNAcentral lists this ribosomal RNA (250 nucleotides) under uncultured bacterium. RNAcentral's name for it is "partial 16S ribosomal RNA". It matches the Rfam family "Bacterial small subunit ribosomal RNA", at positions 524 to 773 of the family's 1533-position model. The record is from RNAcentral.
UACGGAGGGUGCAAGCGUUGUUCGGAAUUAUUGGGCGUAAAGCGAGUGCAGGCGGUAAAGUAUGUCUGGUGUGAAAGCCCGGGGCUCAACUCCGGAAGUGCAUUGGAAACUGCUUUACUUGAAUCUUGGAGAGGGUAGCGGAAUUCCUGGUGUAGAGGUGAAAUUCGUAGAUAUCAGGAGGAACACCGGUGGCGAAGGCGGCUACCUGGACAAUGAUUGACGCUGAGACUCGAAAGCGUGGGGAGCAAAC